Molecule: long non-coding RNA, 374 nt
Organism: Lontra canadensis (Northern American river otter)
Lineage: Eukaryota; Metazoa; Chordata; Mammalia; Carnivora; Mustelidae
Exons: 4
Source: RefSeq, a predicted model, not a curated record
GCUCAGCCUGCAGUGCCGAGUGACACAGCCAGGAGACAUAGUCACCGAGCACUAACUUCUAUUAAAUGCAAGCAGACUGUGAGAACCCUAUUGGAACCGCGUCAGGACGUGAGAGAAGCAAAGGAGCCCAACCUCAUCAGUAUCUUUCCUUCGGGCAAAGUGACAAGGCUGGAUAUAGUCAAUGACUCAAGUGAAUUUGAUUGCGUAAGAGAUGAAUGAUCAGUUUAUCCAGUGACUCACCAAGGUGUGUCCCAACCAAAGUCCACAAUUAUUUUGGCUCCUCACAUUCAAAGCGGAAUGUUCUGAGAAUCUGGAUGAUCUCUCGCUGAGUGUCUGGGCCACAACUCUCCCAGUGGUAGGGCCCUAAGUCCCAC